This 492-nucleotide ribosomal RNA is filed under the name uncultured bacterium. RNAcentral describes it as "partial 16S ribosomal RNA". It matches the Rfam family "Bacterial small subunit ribosomal RNA", at positions 29 to 507 of the family's 1533-position model. The record is from RNAcentral.
AGUGAACGCUGGCGGUAGGCCUAACACAUGCAAGUCGAACGGCAGCACAGUAAGAGCUUGCUCUUACGGGUGGCGAGUGGCGGACGGGUGAGGAAUACAUCGGAAUCUACUUUUUCGUGAGGGAUAACGUAGGGAAACUUACGCUAAUACCGCAUACGACCUACGGGUGAAAGCAGGGGACCUUCGGACCUUGCGCGAUUGAAUGAGCCGAUGUCGGAUUAGCUAGUUGGCGGGGUAAAGGCCCACCAAGGCGACGAUCCGUAGCUGGUCUGAGAGGAUGAUCAGCCACACUGGAACUGAGACACGGUCCAGACUCCUACGGGAGGCAGCAGUGGGGAAUAUUGGACAAUGGGCGCAAGCCUGAUCCAGCCAUACCGCGUGGGUGAAGAAGGCCUUCGGGUUGUAAAGCCCUUUUGUUGGGAAAGAAAAGCAGCAGGUUAAUACCCCGCUGUUCUGACGGUACCCAAAGAAUAAGCACCGGCUAACUUCGUG